UUCUUUGAGGUGCAAGCAUACAGUGCUGUCU
This 31-nucleotide non-coding RNA is filed under the name Homo sapiens (human). Lineage: Eukaryota; Metazoa; Chordata; Mammalia; Primates; Hominidae. The record is from RNAcentral.